UGUCAUUUUUGUUUUUGCCAAAUUAUGUUUCUGGUUUCUCUGGAGUGACUGGUAUGUUUCAAGGACUAAGUAAAAGGAACAAAAGUAGACACCAAAUGGCCUUUAAGAUCCAUUAGUUAUUGAGUCAUUCUGGCCUCAAAACCUUUUCCCAAGGCAACAAUAAGGAUCAGAGCUCUAAAAAGCUGCUAACCAUUGGCCUAGUCCCAUGGUUUCCAAUCCACUUUGGCUAUGGCAUCCUUCCUCCAAAGUCCAAAAUGCAAAAAAAGAUAAAGGCCCAGGUGCUUUGGUUGGAACAAGGGGAAGAAAGUAAAUUUAACCCAAUGUAUUCCCCUUUCCCUGUCUUCCCGCAGCACCCCGAUACCACUGACCUAGUCUGUAAGGGAAAAUCCUAGAGAUCUUUUCAUGCGUGUUAAGCAGCAAUGUUCACGACACUGUGCCUUAUUUAAAGACAUUUGGGGUCCGGAUGGGUGGGUUGUGAUGCCUCCGGAUUUAAAAUUCCAGCAGUGACAAACCCUUUCCUUUACAUAUGUCCCCAAUUCUAUUUUACUGCCAAAAAAGACAAACCCAUGACACAGGGGUAGAAACUGACCUGAAACAGGAAUGCAGGAGCGGCACCCACGUGCACAUAAAUAAGCUGAGGGUGCCGGCCUGAACCCAACAUGGGGAAGCCAGUCAA
This 676-nucleotide long non-coding RNA is filed under the name Bos taurus (domestic cattle). RNAcentral's name for it is "long non-coding RNA NONBTAT012141". The record is from RNAcentral. Lineage: Eukaryota; Metazoa; Chordata; Mammalia; Artiodactyla; Bovidae.